UUCUCCUUCUGUUUCUUCCUCUGCUCGCAGUUCCUCUCUUCUUUCUCUCAGCUUCACUUCCUUUCUUCUUCUUCUUCUUAUUCUGCUGCUUCGUGCUAUUCUUCUGUAUCUGUUUCUCUGGUUUCACUUCUUAUCAGGAUCAGAAGCGGUUUUCCGGCGAGAUUUGCACGGAAAGUUUGAGGAUUACGAGUUUCUCAGGGGGUCUUAAGUACUGUAGCGAAUUUGAUUGAUUUGGAGGAGAAGGAAGUGAAGAAAGAGGAAUUUUUCUGGUGGUGGUGUUUAUUGGAAGCUUGGAAAAUUUUUAUGACUAUUUUGUUUAGCUAUGGUCGUGAAGGAAG
RNAcentral lists this unclassified non-coding RNA (338 nucleotides) under Hevea brasiliensis (rubber tree). The record is from RNAcentral. Lineage: Eukaryota; Viridiplantae; Streptophyta; Magnoliopsida; Malpighiales; Euphorbiaceae.